AGAGUUUGAUCAUGGCUCAGGAUGAACGCUAGCGGCAGGCUCAACACAUGCAAGUCGAGGGGCAGCGGGGUGUAGCAAUACACUGCCGGCGACCGGCGCACGGGUGCGUAACGCGUAUGCAACCUACCCAUAACAGGGGCAUAACACUGAGAAAUUGGUACUAAUUCCCCAUAACAUUCGAAGAGGCAUCUCUUUGGGUUGAAAACUCCGGUGGUUAUGGAUGGGCAUGCGGUUGUAUUAGC
Molecule: ribosomal RNA, 242 nt
Filed under: uncultured bacterium
Lineage: Bacteria
Description: partial 16S ribosomal RNA
Rfam family: Bacterial small subunit ribosomal RNA
Source: RNAcentral